GAUGAACGCUAGCUACAGGCUUAACACAUGCAAGUCGAGGGGAAACGACAUCGAAAGCUUGCUUUUGAUGGGCGUCGACCGGCGCACGGGUGAGUAACGCGUAUCCAACCUGCCCACCACUUGGGGAUAACCUUGCGAAAGUAAGACUAAUACCCAAUGAUAUCUCUAGAAGACAUCUGAAAGAGAUUAAAGAUUUAUCGGUGAUGGAUGGGGAUGCUUCUGAUUAGCUUGUUGGCGGGGUAACGGCCCACCAAGGCAACGAUCAGUAGGGGUUCUGAGAGGAAGGUCCCCCACAUUGGAACUGAGACACGGUCCAAACUCCUACGGGAGGCAGCAGUGAGGAAUAUUGGUCAAUGGACGAGAGUCUGAACCAGCCAAGUAGCGUGCAGGAAGACGGCCCUAUGGGUUGUAAACUGCUUUUAUAAGGGAAUAAAGUGAGUCUCGUGAGACUUUUUGCAUGUACCUUAUGAAUAAGGACCGGCUAAUUCCGUG
This 492-nucleotide ribosomal RNA is filed under the name uncultured bacterium. RNAcentral's name for it is "partial 16S ribosomal RNA". It matches the Rfam family "Bacterial small subunit ribosomal RNA", at positions 28 to 507 of the family's 1533-position model. The record is from RNAcentral.